RNAcentral lists this ribosomal RNA (426 nucleotides) under Galathea platycheles. RNAcentral describes it as "partial 16S ribosomal RNA". The stretch from base 294 to 426 matches the Rfam family "Bacterial large subunit ribosomal RNA", at positions 2473 to 2606 of the family's 2925-position model. RNAcentral also lists the same sequence under 1 other name. Lineage: Eukaryota; Metazoa; Arthropoda; Malacostraca; Decapoda; Galatheidae. The record is from RNAcentral.
UUUUAAUUGAAGGCUUGAAUGAAUGAUUGGACAAGAGACAUAUUGUCUUUAUUGAAUAUUUGAAUUUGUUUUUUAAGUGAAAAAACUUAAAUGUUAUUAAGGGACGAUAAGACCCUAUAAAUCUUUAUACAAUAAUAUUUUUACUUUAAUAUUUUAUGUUUAACCUGAUAAAUUUAAGAAGUAUUAUGUUGGGGUGACAAGAGUAUAAAUGUUUUAGCUGCUCUAAAUUAUACAAGGGUGCUUGGUUAAUAAUAGAUCCUUUAUUUGAGAUUAAAAAAUUAAGUUACUUUAGGGAUAACAGCGUUAUUCUUUUUGAGAGUUCUAAUCGAAAAAAGAGUUUGCGACCUCGAUGUUGAAUUAAAAUUUCUUUAUGGUGUAGCCUUUAUAAAAGUAAGUCUGUUCGACUUUUAAAAUUUUACGUGAUCU